This 473-nucleotide ribosomal RNA is filed under the name uncultured bacterium. RNAcentral's name for it is "bacterial SSU rRNA". It matches the Rfam family "Bacterial small subunit ribosomal RNA", at positions 107 to 598 of the family's 1533-position model. The record is from RNAcentral.
UGAGUAACGCGUGGGCAACCUGCCCUCCAGCCCGGGAUAACUUCCGGAAACGGGAGCUAAUCCCGGAUGCGGAGCAAAGGACGCAUGUUUUUUGCUCGAAAGCUUCGGCGCUGGAGGAUGGGCCCGCGUCCCAUUAGCUAGUUGGUGAGGUAACGGCUCACCAAGGCGACGAUGGGUAGCCGGCCUGAGAGGGUGAUCGGCCACACUGGGACUGAGACACGGCCCAGACUCCUACGGGAGGCAGCAGUAGGGAAUCUUGCGCAAUGGGCGAAAGCCUGACGCAGCGACGCCGCGUGAGGGAAGAAGGCCUUCGGGUCGUAAACCUCUGUCCUUGGGGACGAUGAUGACGGUACCCAAGGAGGAAGCCCCGGCUAACUACGUGCCAGCAGCCGCGGUAAUACGUAGGGGGCGAGCGUUGUCCGGAAUCACUGGGCGUAAAGGGUGCGUAGGCGGCUUGGCAAGUCCUGUGUGAA